CUCAGGAUGAACGCUAGCGGCAGGCUUAACACAUGCAAGUCGAGGGGCAUCGGGAGUAGCAAUACGUUGCCGGCGACCGGCGCAAGGGUGCGUAACGCGUGAGCAACAUGCCCGUAUCAGGGGGAUAAUCCAUGGAAACGUGGUCUAAUACCCCAUAGUAAUUAUGUAAGGCAUCUUAUAUAAUUUAAAGCUUUGGUGGAUACGGAUUGGCUCGCGUGACAUUAGCUGGAUGGUAAGGUAACGGCUUACCAUGGCUACGAUGUCUAGGGGUUCUGAGAGGAAGGUCCCCCCACACUGGAACUGAGACACGGUCCAGACUCCUACGGGAGGCAGCAGUGAGGAGUAUUGGACAAUGGAUGGAAUCUGAUCCAGCCAUGCCGCGUGCAGGGAAAGACGGCCCUAUGGGUUGUAAACUGCUUUUGUAUGGGAGCAAUAAGGGCUACGUGUAGUCCGAUGAGAGUACCAUACGAAUAAGCACCGGCUAACUCCGUGCCAGCAGCCGC
This 503-nucleotide ribosomal RNA is filed under the name uncultured bacterium. Its description in RNAcentral is "bacterial SSU rRNA". It matches the Rfam family "Bacterial small subunit ribosomal RNA", at positions 23 to 518 of the family's 1533-position model. The record is from RNAcentral.